Molecule: ribosomal RNA, 437 nt
Filed under: uncultured bacterium
Lineage: Bacteria
Description: bacterial SSU rRNA
Rfam family: Bacterial small subunit ribosomal RNA
Source: RNAcentral
GACGAACGCUGGCGGCGCGCCUAACACAUGCAAGUCGAACGGAGCUUAAAGAGCUUGCUUUUUAAGCUUAGUGGCGAACGGGUGAGUAACGCGUGAGUAACCUGCCCUAGAGUGGGGGACAACAGUUGGAAACGACUGCUAAUACCGCAUAAGCCCACGGUACCGCAUGGCACUGAGGGAAAAGGAUUUAUUCGCUUUAGGAUGGACUCGCGUCCAAUUAGCUAGUUGGUGAGGUAACGGCCCACCAAGGCGACGAUUGGUAGCCGGACUGAGAGGUUGAACGGCCACAUUGGGACUGAGACACGGCCCAGACUCCUACGGGAGGCAGCAGUGGGGGAUAUUGCACAAUGGGGGAAACCCUGAUGCAGCGACGCCGCGUGGAGGAAGAAGGUUUUCGGAUUGUAAACUCCUGUCGUUAGGGACGAUAAUGACGGUAC